This 481-nucleotide ribosomal RNA is filed under the name uncultured bacterium. Its description in RNAcentral is "partial 16S ribosomal RNA". It matches the Rfam family "Bacterial small subunit ribosomal RNA", at positions 28 to 507 of the family's 1533-position model. The record is from RNAcentral.
GAUGAACGCUGGCGGCGUGCCUAACACAUGCAAGUCGAACGGAGAUUACGGACGGAAGUUUUCGGAUGGAAGACUGUAAUUCUUAGUGGCGGACGGGUGAGUAACGCGUGGGCAACCUGCCCUAUACAGGGGGAUAGCAGCUGGAAACGGCUGGUAAGACCGCAUAAGUCGGCGAGACCGCAUGGUUUUGCCGGGAAAUGAGCAAUCAGGUAUAGGAUGGGCCCGCGUCCGAUUAGCCAGUUGGCAGGGUAAAAGCCUACCAAAGCAACGAUCGGUAGCCGGACUGAGAGGUCGGACGGCCACAUUGGGACUGAGACACGGCCCAAACUCCUACGGGGAGCAGCAGUGGGGGAUAUUGCACAAUGGAGGAAACUCUGAUGCAGCGACGCCGCGUGAGUGAAGAAGUAUUUCGGUAUGUAAAGCUCUAUCAGCAGGGAAGAUGAUGACGGUACCUGACUAAGAAGCCCCGGCUAACUACGUG